This 253-nucleotide ribosomal RNA is filed under the name uncultured bacterium. Its description in RNAcentral is "partial 16S ribosomal RNA". It matches the Rfam family "Bacterial small subunit ribosomal RNA", at positions 524 to 776 of the family's 1533-position model. The record is from RNAcentral.
UACGAAGGGGGCUAGCGUUGCUCGGAAUUACUGGGCGUAAAGCGCACGUAGGCGGAUUGUUAAGUCGGGGGUGAAAUCCUGGAGCUCAACUCCAGAACUGCCUUCGAUACUGGCGAUCUUGAGUCCGGAAGAGGUGAGUGGAACUCCUAGUGUAGAGGUGGAAUUCGUAGAUAUUAGGAAGAACACCAGUGGCGAAGGCGGCUCACUGGUCCGGUACUGACGCUGAGGUGCGAAAGCCAGGGGAGCAAACGGG